UUUAUAUACUUAAUCUUCUAAACAUCUCGCAAAGACGUUUCGACAUGCCCGUGACUAUUGAAUACAGUAUCACUUUCAAUAUAGAAGCUGUUUAAUGGCUAAAUCAUCGAUUCUUCUUGCAUAUUCUGAGACUGGAAGCUGUUCUUCCACCGUCAAGGAAUCCAUGACCAUAGCUAUAUCGGUUCACAUGAUCCAGCAAGACCCAAACUGUUCAUAUUCAUUGGUACAUCCAAUUCCUUCCUACAAAGGAAGGAGCAAGGAAGACAAUAAGACGACAGUAAACCAAA
Molecule: long non-coding RNA, 287 nt
Organism: Brassica napus (rape)
Lineage: Eukaryota; Viridiplantae; Streptophyta; Magnoliopsida; Brassicales; Brassicaceae
Exons: 3
Source: RefSeq, a predicted model, not a curated record